GGCUGCCCYSUWAUAUAUAAAUAGGGAGUCGGACCUGCCCAGUGAGUUUUUUCAACGGCCGCGGUACUCUGACCGUGCAAAGGUAGCAUAAUCAUUUGCCUUAUAACUGAAGGCUAGUAUGAAUGGUUUGACAAGAAUAUAACUGUCUCUUUGUAAUUAAUAAGAAUUUUAUUUUUAGGUGAAGAAGCCUAAAUACAAUUGAAAGACAAGAAGACCCUAUCGAGCUUGAAAAGAGUUAGUAAGAGUACUUAUCAAUAAGAUAUUAAUGUUAUUUAUUAAAAAUUUUAGUUGGGGCGACUAAGGAACAAAAAAAGCUUCCUUUAUAACUUAUAAAUCAAGACAAACAGGUAUAGAUCCAAGAACUUUGAUUAAAGAAAUUAGUUACCGUAGGGAUAACAGCAUUAUCCCCUUUGAGAGUUCAUAUCGAAAAGGGGGUUUGUGACCUCGAUGUUGGACCAGAAUAUCCUGAAGAUGUAGCCGUCUUUAAGGGUUGGUCUGUUCGACCAUUAAAAUUCUACGUGAUCUGAGUUCAGACCGGCGUGAGCCAGGUCAGUUUCUAUCUUCAAUUCCCUAAAUAAACUUAGUACGAAAGGACCAGAUUAUUACAAACUAAUUGUUAGAGUAAAGAUAAAAUAUAAUGAGUUUAUAAAUAUUUAAGUUUUAAUUAAUUAAGUAAAAUCAAAUUAGCAAAAAUAAUGCAAUUGACUUAGGAUCAGUAGACAUAGGUGAAAUUCCUUUAUUUGAUAUUUCACUUUGUAUUUAUGAAGUACAUUAGUAAUAAAGGUGGCAGAAUAAA
Molecule: ribosomal RNA, 796 nt
Filed under: Vokesimurex dentifer
Lineage: Eukaryota; Metazoa; Mollusca; Gastropoda; Neogastropoda; Muricidae
Description: partial 16S ribosomal RNA
Rfam family: Bacterial large subunit ribosomal RNA (bases 1-588)
Source: RNAcentral